RNAcentral lists this ribosomal RNA (507 nucleotides) under uncultured bacterium. RNAcentral describes it as "bacterial SSU rRNA". It matches the Rfam family "Bacterial small subunit ribosomal RNA", at positions 30 to 528 of the family's 1533-position model. The record is from RNAcentral.
AUUGAACGCUGGCGGAAUGCUUUACACAUGCAAGUCGAACGGCAGCACGGGGCAACCUGGUGGCGAGUGGCGAACGGGUGAGUAAUACAUCGGAACGUGCCCAAUCGUGGGGGAUAACGUAGCGAAAGUUACGCUAAUACCGCAUACGAUCUACGGAUGAAAGCGGGGGAUCGCAAGACCUCGCGCGAAUGGAGCGGCCGAUGUCAGAUUAGGUAGUUGGUGGGGUAAAGGCUCACCAAGCCAACGAUCUGUAGCUGGUCUGAGAGGACGACCAGCCACACUGGAACUGAGACACGGUCCAGACUCCUACGGGAGGCAGCAGUGGGGAAUUUUGGGACAAUGGGCGCAAGCCUGAUCCAGCCAUUCCGCGUGCAGGAUGAAGGCCUUCGGGUUGUAAACUGCUUUUGUACGGAACGAAACGGUCUGGCCCUAAUACGGCGGGCCGUAAUGACGGUACCGUAAGAAUAAGCACCGGCUAACUACGUGCCAGCAGCCGCGGUAAAGUGU